GACGAACGCUGGCGGUGUGCUUAACACAUGCAAGUCGAACGGAAAGGCCCUGCUUUUGUGGGGUGCUCGAGUGGCGAACGGGUGAGUAACACGUGAGUAACCUGCCCUUGACUUUGGGAUAACUUCAGGAAACUGGGGCUAAUACCGGAUAGGAGCUCCUGCUGCAUGGUGGGGGUUGGAAAGUUUCGGCGGUUGGGGAUGGACUCGCGGCUUAUCAGCUUGUUAGUGGGGUAGUGGCUUACCAAGGCUUUGACGGGUAGCCGGCCUGAGAGGGUGACCGGCCACAUUGGGACUGAGAUACGGCCCAGACUCCUACGGGAGGCAGCAGUGGGGAAUAUUGCACAAUGGGCGGAAGCCUGAUGCAGCAACGCCGCGUGCGGGAUGACGGCCUUCGGGUUGUAAACCGCUUUCGCCUGUGACGAAGCGUGAGUGACGGUAAUGGGUAAAGAAGCACCGGCUAACUACGUG
Molecule: ribosomal RNA, 468 nt
Filed under: uncultured bacterium
Lineage: Bacteria
Description: partial 16S ribosomal RNA
Rfam family: Bacterial small subunit ribosomal RNA
Source: RNAcentral